AAAGGCCCUUCGGGGUACUCGAGUGGCGAACGGGUGAGUAACACGUGGGUGAUCUGCCCUGCACUCUGGGAUAAGCCUGGGAAACUGGGUCUAAUACCGGAUAGGACCACACACUUCAUGGUGAGUGGUGCAAAGCUUUUGCGGUGUGGGAUGAGCCCGCGGCCUAUCAGCUUGUUGGUGGGGUAAUGGCCCACCAAGGCGACGACGGGUAGCCGGCCUGAGAGGGUGACCGGCCACACUGGGACUGAGAUACGGCCCAGACUCCUACGGGAGGCAGCAGUGGGGAAUAUUGCACAAUGGGCGCAAGCCUGAUGCAGCGACGCCGCGUGAGGGAUGACGGCCUUCGGGUUGUAAACCUCUUUCAGUAGGGACGAAGCGAAAGUGACGGUACCUACAGAAGAAGGACCGGCCAACUACGUGCCAGCAGCCGCGGUAAUACGUAGGGUCCGAGCGUUGUCCGGAAUUACUGGGCGUAAAGAGCUCGUAGGUGGUUUGUCGCGUUGUUCGUGAAAACUCACAGCUUAACUGUGGGCGUGCGGGCGAUACGGGCAGACUAGAGUACUGCAGGGGAGACUGGAAUUCCUGGUGUAGCGGUGGAAUGCGCAGAUAUCAGGAGGAACACCGGUGGCGAAGGCGGGUCUCUGGGCAGUAACUGACGCUGAGGAGCGAAAGCGUGGGUAGCGAACAGGAUUAGAUACCCUGGUAGUCCACGCCGUAACGGUGGGUACUAGGUGUGGGUUUCCUUCCUUGGGAUCCGUGCCGUAGCUACGCAUUAAGUACCCCGCCUGGGGAGUACGGUCGCAAGACUAAAACUCAAGGAUUUGACGGGGCCCGCACAAGCGGCGGAGCAUGUGGAUUAAUUCGAUGCAACGCGAGAACCUUACCUGGGUUUGACAUGCACAGGACGUACCUAGAGAUAGGUAUCCUGU
Molecule: ribosomal RNA, 929 nt
Filed under: Mycobacteroides abscessus
Lineage: Bacteria; Bacillati; Actinomycetota; Actinomycetes; Mycobacteriales; Mycobacteriaceae
Description: bacterial SSU rRNA
Rfam family: Bacterial small subunit ribosomal RNA
Source: RNAcentral